AAGAACCUGAAACCGUGUACGUACAAGCAGUGGGAGCACCCUUUGGGGUGUGACUGCGUACCUUUUGUAUAAUGGGUCAGCGACUUAUAUUCUGUAGCAAGGUUAACCGUAUAGGGGAGCCGGAGGGAAACCGAGUCUUAAUUGGGCGUUAAGUUGCAGGGUAUAGACCCGAAACCCGGUGAUCUAGCCAUGGGCAGGUUGAAGGUUGGGUAACACUAACUGGAGGACCGAACCGACUAAUGUUGAAAAAUUAGCGGAUGACCUGUGGCUGGGGGUGAAAGGCCAAUCAAACCGGGAGAUAGCUGGUUCUCCCCGAAAGCUAUUUAGGUAGCGCCUCGUGAAUUCAUCUCCGGGGGUAGAGCACUGUUUCGGCUAGGGGGCCAUCCCGGCUUACCAACCCGAUGCAAACUGCGAAUACCGGAGAAUGUUAUCACGGGAGACACACGGCGGGUGCUAACGUCCGUCGUGAAGAGGGAAACAACCCAGACCGCCAGCUAAGGUCCCAAAGUCAUGGUUAAGUGGGAAACGAUGUGGGAAGGCCCAGACAGCCAGGAUGUUGGCUUAGAAGCAGCCAUCAUUUAAAGAAAGCGUAAUAGCUCACUGGUCGAGUCGGCCUGCGCGGAAGAUGUAACGGGGCUAAACCAUGCACCGAAGCUGCGGCAGCGACGCUGAUGCGUUGUUGGGUAGGGGAGCGUUCUGUAAGCCUGCGAAGGUGGC
This 717-nucleotide ribosomal RNA is filed under the name Salmonella enterica subsp. enterica serovar Reading. RNAcentral's name for it is "partial 23S ribosomal RNA". It matches the Rfam family "Bacterial large subunit ribosomal RNA", at positions 544 to 1260 of the family's 2925-position model. Lineage: Bacteria; Pseudomonadati; Pseudomonadota; Gammaproteobacteria; Enterobacterales; Enterobacteriaceae. The record is from RNAcentral.